UUUUUAUAAACAUGUUGCAUUUUUUUAUUUUUAAUAUCCAUUUCAAGUUAUGCAUACAUACAAUAAGAUUCAAGUAUGUAGUGUUGCUAGAUACUAAUCCAACACCCUCUGCCAAUGUUCAGCAAUGACAUCCAGACUAGUAUGCAAGCAAAACAGAUUGUUAGACUACAGCCAUAAACCAUAGCAAUUAUAUUCAGCUAAACUAUAUCUUUUGAAUGAAUGAAGGCAAAGUUGCAUGCAAAAAUAUCUUUUGCCUACAUUCCUCCUUUGUUCCUGCACUUCUCAGUAACUAUAUUCACAAAAACUUGCAAACCAAAAAAUUGUUAAGUGAUACUUCUGGAUUC
RNAcentral lists this long non-coding RNA (344 nucleotides) under Phoenix dactylifera (date palm). Its description in RNAcentral is "long non-coding RNA (PDAC_LNC015124)". The record is from RNAcentral. Lineage: Eukaryota; Viridiplantae; Streptophyta; Magnoliopsida; Arecales; Arecaceae.